UUUAUUGCAGUGGGAAAAAAAGGAUAUGGUUAUGAGGCAAAAAUUGACCUGAAAUGCAGUUGUUUAGGAAGCUUCAAAUUUCAGCACUUAAUGGAAAAGGCAAAGUUUGAAUGGUUCCUUUGUUUAUACAAUUUUCAACAUUUUAAAUAAUAUGGAUUUAAUUUUCCAAAAUUUUUCAACUUAAAUGGGUAAGCUUUCAAACAGAAGAGAUUCCAACCCUGCAUCAUCCAAUCAGGAGUCCGAGGGUUGACUGUAAAAUGUGUAAACAACUAAUUGGGCUAAUGUAACCAUAAACCCAUUCAACCUUUCUGCAGUUUUGUGAUCUAAGGGAGACAAUUUAGGUCUCUUAAUAUUAUAUAUUAAGCUCAUUACAAGAGUAUCGAGGAUAGGGUAUACCAUAACAAUUUAAAUGACUUUUAUAAACACUUUGUUUUCUUAUACAUGAUGUUGUUUCACAUAAUUUUAUUGAAAUUACCGUAUUUAUAGGAAUCAUCAUUUGUCUCCUUGAAUACAGACCAAGUCAGCAAAUAUCCAAAUCAAAGAGGAGAUAUCCCUUUGGUAAAUUAUUUUGGAGGACGAUUUGUUGUUGAGCCUCAGCUCAAACAAGUUUGAGUCAGGUCCAAAACCUGUCCCAGGCCUUUUUAUACGACCGCAAAAAAAUUUUGCGGUCGUAUAUUGGUAUGACGUUGGCUUUGUCGUCGUCUGAAGACACAUUGGUUUUCGCACUCUUACUUUAGUUUAAGUGAAUGGAUCUCUAUGAAAUUUUAACAUAAGGUUCAAUACCACAAAAGGAAGGUUGGGAUUGAUUUUGGGGGUAUUGGUACAAACAGUUAAGGAAUUAGGGGCCAAAAAGGGGCCAAAAAUAAGCAUUUUUGUAACUUCCAGACAUAACUUGUGUGUUAGUGUAUGGAUCUCUCUGACAUUGUACCACAAGGUUCCAUAUCACAAAGGGAAUGCUGGGAUUGAUUUUGGGGGUAAUUGCCUCAAAAUUUAAUGAAUAAGGGGCCAAAAAAGGGGCAAAAAACAAGCAUUUUUCUAGUUUCAUGACAAUAACUUUUGUGUAAGUGUAUGGAUCUUUCUGAAAUUGUACUACAAGGUUCCAUAUCACUAAGGGAAAGCUGGGUUUGAGUUUGGGGGUAAUUGCCAUAAACUUUUAAGAAUUUUGGGCCAAAAAGGGCCUAAAAACAAGCAUUUUUCUAGUUUCCAGACAAUAACUUGUGUUCAAGUGUAUGGAUCUCUGUGAAAUUGUACUGCAAGGUACCCUACCACAAAGGGAAGGCUGGGAUUGAUUUUGGGGGUAAUUGCCUCAAAAUUUUAGGAAUUAGGGGCCAAAAAGGGGAAAAAACAAGCAUUUUUCUAGUUUCAGGACAAUAACUUGUGUGUAAGUGUAUGGAUCUUUAUGAAAUUGUACUACAAGGUUCCUUAUCACAAAGGGAAAGCUGGGUUUGAGUUUGGGGGUAUUUUCCCAAAACGUUAAAGAAUUUGGGGCCAAAAAGGGGCCUAAAAACAAGCAUUUUUCUAGUUUCCAGACAAUAACCUGUGUUCAAGUGUAUGGAUCUCUCUGAAAUUGUACUGGAAGGUACCAUACCACAAAGGGAAGGCUAGACAAAGGGAAGGCUAGGAUUGAGUUCGGGGGUGAUGAAUCAUAAGGGGGUUAAAAAAAUUUGGGGGAGGGAUUUUUUUUUUCCUUUUUUUCCUUUUUUUUUCUUUAAAAUUUUCAAUUUUAAAUUGGUUAUUUCUAAUUUAUAUAUAAAAGCAAAUAAUAAUGAUAUGGUUUGAAUAGGUAAAUUAAAAUUUUUGAAGUUCUUAGACCUCAUUCAUUCUGUGUCAGAAACCUAUGCUGUGUCAAAUAUUUAAUCACAAUCCAAAUUCAGUGCUGUAUUAAGCUUGAAUGUUGUGUCCAUACUUGCCCCAACUGUUCAGGGUUCGACCUCUGCUGUCGAAUCAAGCUGCGCCAAGCGGAGCAUUUUAUUGCUUUUUUUUUUUGCAAUAGUCCUCCAGGACCUCUCUUCUUUUAUACAUUGAAGCUUUAUACAGGACCUAUGACUUUCUUAAGAAGAACCUUUCACUUAAAUGAAAAUCCAAACGAGCCUGGACCUUUUUUGCCUAAAAGAAAAUUUGAUUCAUGUUGUUUCCAUAAUAUUAAACCUAGUUCAUGGUGUUAAAUAGUUGAAACAAAUACUUGAAUGAAUACAAUCCUUAAUGGAUAAAUCACUUAAAACCACAUAUCAGAUGUCUAAGUAAAUCCAUGUUUUAUUACUUGUCAAUUAUUAUUUUAUUGGAUAAAAAAAACUUAUAAUGAUGUUAUGGUGAAAGAGAGUGAUUUUGUUGGCUAGUGGGAGGUUUUACCUCCCAGUCAGCAUGGUCAGGCUACUAUGCUUCAAAAGGGGGUUUCUAAAUUUUUGAACAAAAAUAUUGUGAACUCCAAACAAUAUUUGAGACUUAACCCGUAUGAUAUAGGACAUCAGUUAUAGUGAUUAAAGUUUGUUGUUUGUGAUAGAC
Mytilus californianus (California mussel) is the source of this 2502-nucleotide long non-coding RNA. RefSeq lists it as uncharacterized. The transcript has 2 exons. NCBI's taxonomy places the organism in Eukaryota, Metazoa, Mollusca, Bivalvia, Mytilida, Mytilidae. The record is from RefSeq and is a predicted model, not a curated record.